CAAGUCGAGCGGAUGACGGGAGCUUGCUCCUUGAUUCAGCGGCGGACGGGUGAGUAAUGCCUAGGAAUCUGCCUGGUAGUGGGGGACAACGUUUCGAAAGGAACGCUAAUACCGCAUACGUCCUACGGGAGAAAGCAGGGGACCUUCGGGCCUUGCGCUAUCAGAUGAGCCUAGGUCGGAUUAGCUAGUUGGUGGGGUAAUGGCUCACCAAGGCGACGAUCCGUAACUGGUCUGAGAGGAUGAUCAGUCACACUGGAACUGAGACACGGUCCAGACUCCUACGGGAGGCAGCAGUGGGGAAUAUUGGACAAUGGGCGAAAGCCUGAUCCAGCCAUGCCGCGUGUGUGAAGAAGGUCUUCGGAUUGUAAAGCACUUUAAGUUGGGAGGAAGGGCAGUAAGCUAAUACCUUGCUGUUUUGACGUUACCGACAGAAUAAGCACCGGCUAACUCUGUGCCAGCAGCCGCGGUAAUACAGAGGGUGCAAGCGUUAAUCGGAAUUACUGGGCGUAAAGCGCGCGUAGGUGGUUUGUUAAGUUGGAUGUGAAAGCCCCGGGCUCAACCUGGGAACUGCAUCCAAAACUGGCAAGCUAGAGUACGGUAGAGGGUGGUGGAAUUUCCUGUGUAGCGGUGAAUGCGUAGAUAUAGGAAGGAACACCAGUGGCGAAGGCGACCACCUGGACUGAUACUGACACUGAGGUGC
Molecule: ribosomal RNA, 700 nt
Filed under: Pseudomonas putida
Lineage: Bacteria; Pseudomonadati; Pseudomonadota; Gammaproteobacteria; Pseudomonadales; Pseudomonadaceae
Description: bacterial SSU rRNA
Rfam family: Bacterial small subunit ribosomal RNA
Source: RNAcentral